Molecule: non-coding RNA, 70 nt
Organism: Ciona savignyi (Pacific transparent sea squirt)
Lineage: Eukaryota; Metazoa; Chordata; Ascidiacea; Phlebobranchia; Cionidae
Source: Rfam
GUCUUUGCGCAGUGGCAGUAACAUAGCUGAUGAGGUUCAUCUGAGGCGUGUUUAUUGCUAGUUGAAAACU